CUAAAUCUCUCUGUUUCCCUCUGUCAAAAUCCAGACGGCUCCCUGUCCCAGACAGCCAUGAUGCAGAGUGCUUAGGCUAAGGAGAACCACGCUCAUCAAAUGGCUGAGAUGGAUGCAUUCCUGUUGACCUCGACAAGCAAGGGCCUUGGCCACACACAAACAUUGUAUUAGAGAUGUAGACAUACAGUAUGCUUUCCCACCAUGUGAUUUAUGCCUGGGCUUCUACCUCAUGCAUCCUUUCUGCCAUCUAAAAGUUGAUGGAAGGCAGAUUGCAGCCAACAUCAGAGGCAUUGGCAUGAUGCCAGAUGGCUUCCCGGAGUGGAAGAAACAUGCCUUUGGCGGUAACCAGGCCUCUUAUGGCAAGAAGACAGAGCUUACCAUCCUGGAGCAGAGAGAGCGAGCCUGCCCAUCUACAAGCUAAAGGAGAAGCUCUCACAAGUCAACAAUAGACAUUGCCCUAUAGACAGAAAUAAAGUUGUUUGUCAGACAUCG
Long non-coding RNA from Oncorhynchus gorbuscha (pink salmon), 492 nucleotides. RefSeq lists it as uncharacterized. The record is from RefSeq and is a predicted model, not a curated record. The transcript has 2 exons. Lineage: Eukaryota; Metazoa; Chordata; Actinopteri; Salmoniformes; Salmonidae.